AAGAUUGCCAGCUAUAACAAGCAUCCCAGCUGCAGCAACCAGGACCGACUUGUGCACUCCUCAUCUGAAGUCUUCAUUUCUCUUUUACUCUGCCUCCUCGCUCUUGUCCCCUGCUACCACCGUAGCAGUCAUCCUACAAGUCCCUGUUUUGGUUCACACCUCAAGAUUCUGUGGGCCCUCCUUAUCCAGCCUUUCUGGGGUCUGGGAACUCUCCCAACAUGACCCUUAACCCUCUGAUUCUAAGCAUGGUGGUGCUAGUCACUGCAUGACGCUAGGCUGCCACAGAGCCCAAAUUCCCUGCUGUUCGACUGGCUUUGCAGAAUUUUGACAUGACUUACAGUGUGCAGUUUGGAGAUCUUUGGCCAUCAAUCCGUGUCAGUCUCCUCUCAGAGCAGAAGUAUGGUGCACUGGUCAAUAACUUUGCUGCCUGGGAUCAUGUAAGUGCUAAGCUGGAGCAGCUGAGUGCCAAGGACUUUGUGAAUGAAGCCAUCUCCCACUGGGAACUGCAGUCUGAGGGUGGCCAAUCUGCAGCCCCAUCCCCUGCCUCCUGGGCCUGCAGUCCGAACCUUCGAUGCUUCACUUUUGACAGAGGGGAUAUCAGUCGCUUCCCUCCUGCCAGGUAGGAUCUGGAGCCAUGACUGGAGCGGUCCUGAGUGCCUGCUGGAAGUAGACAUGAUGAGACCCAGCUUGUACCCUCUGUAAUAAGGACCAUAAUAUUGCUAAUAUUUAUGGCAUGUUUAUACAGACUAGGCAUUUUUUGAGGUGCUAUACAUAUGUUAUCUCUUUUUGUUCGGUCAACAGCCUUAUGAAGUAGGUAGUAUUAUUGCUCUUUUACAUUUGGAGAAACU
Molecule: small RNA, 848 nt
Filed under: Pongo abelii (Sumatran orangutan)
Lineage: Eukaryota; Metazoa; Chordata; Mammalia; Primates; Hominidae
Description: retained intron
Source: RNAcentral